AGAACGAACGCUGGCGGCAGGCCUAACACAUGCAAGUCGAACGCCGUAGCAAUACGGAGUGGCAGACGGGUGAGUAACACGUGGGAACAUACCCUUCGGUUCGGAAUAACUCAGGGAAACUUGUGCUAAUACCGGAUACGUCCGCAAGGAGAAAGAUUUAUCGCCGAAGGAUUGGCCCGCGUCUGAUUAGCUUGUUGGUGAGGUAAUGGCUCACCAAGGCGACGAUCAGUAGCUGGUCUGAGAGGAUGAUCAGCCACAUUGGGACUGAGACACGGCCCAAACUCCUACGGGAGGCAGCAGUGGGGAAUAUUGGACAAUGGGCGAAAGCCUGAUCCAGCCAUGCCGCGUGAGUGAUGAAGGCCUUAGGGUUGUAAAGCUCUUUUACCUGGGAAGAUAAUGACGGUACCAGGAGAAUAAGCCCCGGCUAACUUCGUGCCAGCAGCCGCGGUAAUACGAAGGGGGCUAGCGUUGUUCGGAUUUACUGGGCGUAAAGCGCACGUAGGCGGAUCUUUAAGUCAGGGGUGAAAUCCCGAGGCUCAACCUCGGAACUGCCUUUGAUACUGGGGAUCUCGAGUCCGGGAGAGGUGAGUGGAAUUGCGAGUGUAGAGGUGAAAUUCGUAGAUAUUCGCAAGAACACCAGUGGCGAAGGCGGCUCACUGGCCCGGUACUGACGCUGAGGUGCGAAAGCGUGGGGAGCAAACAGGAUUAGAUACCCUGGUAGUCCACGCCGUAAACGAUGGAUGCAAGCCGUUAGACAGCUUGCUGUUUAGUGGCGCAGUUAACGCUUUAAGCAUCCCGCCUGGGGAGUACGGUCGCAAGAUUAAA
This 825-nucleotide ribosomal RNA is filed under the name uncultured bacterium. RNAcentral describes it as "bacterial SSU rRNA". It matches the Rfam family "Bacterial small subunit ribosomal RNA", at positions 26 to 898 of the family's 1533-position model. The record is from RNAcentral.